GGACGGUCGAUGGUCUGAUUAAUCACAAACCCGCGCGGACUCACAGUCAAGAGACACACACACACACCCACACACACACCUGUGCAAUAUUGAUUACUGAUUAAUGAUCGGCCGUUGUGUGUGAGCGGAGUUUCGCGCUUCAAACCUACAGGACUCUCUUCAUCCAUCACCUCCUCCUCCGGGAUGAAGACUCCUUUUAGUCCUUCUCAGCUCAUGGAGAGGGAGCAGAUCUUUGGCUUUGGAGGGAUGUGUCAAGAGCUGAUGGACCCCCCAACAUCAACAACCAUCAGUCUCUCCGUCCAGCAGACUCCAUCCCCAGGUCAGGGCGGGGCCUUCUCGCUGUGUGAGGUGUGUAACCUGCAGCUUACCACUGACGCUCAGGCCCAACUGCACUACAAUGGCAGGUCUCACCUCCGGAGAGUGAGACAGCUCGAGGCUAGGGAGACAGGAGCAGGGACUCAGUCUAGGUCCCUCCUCCAGGCCACAGGGCUCAGCUCCCAGCCUGCUGGACUAACUCUGACACCAGGCUUCAGUUCAUGCCUAAGCGCUCCAUCAAGCACA
RNAcentral lists this long non-coding RNA (561 nucleotides) under Cottoperca gobio. Its description in RNAcentral is "lncRNA (ENSCGOG00000023426.1)". Lineage: Eukaryota; Metazoa; Chordata; Actinopteri; Perciformes; Bovichtidae. The record is from RNAcentral.